This is a long non-coding RNA of Drosophila obscura, 428 nucleotides long. RefSeq lists it as uncharacterized. The record is from RefSeq and is a predicted model, not a curated record. The transcript has 3 exons. NCBI's taxonomy places the organism in Eukaryota, Metazoa, Arthropoda, Insecta, Diptera, Drosophilidae.
UGUAUACAAAAUAACAAGCAAACUAUGUGUAUGCAUGUGUAUGUGCUGUAUGUAUGUGCUAGCUGACCCGGCAAACCAUUUGCCGCAGUAUUGUGAACGAUGUCAUUUGGAAGCAUGAAUUGAAUGUGCGAAUGGACUUCAGGAACAGGAAACAUAUACAAGAAUCGUCGGCGGAUGCUAAAUAUGAAUAUAUGAGUAUAUGAAUACGGCCAAGAUGGCUGCAUUUUUGGCUGUCGAGUGAAUGAUUUCACCUAUGUAUAGAAAGUGCUUCAGAUUUGGGAGAUCAAACGGAAAUUUCAUAUGGUACUUCGGAAGGUGGAUCAACCAUGACAUUGUUCAGGAUUUGCUGUGAGUUCGAGGUGGUUUCUGCUUUUCAACAAAACAAAAUAUUAUAAUUGGAAUGUGCAAAAGCCUUUAACAUAAGGUAU